RNAcentral lists this transfer RNA (64 nucleotides) under Nabis ferus. RNAcentral's name for it is "tRNA-Asp". Lineage: Eukaryota; Metazoa; Arthropoda; Insecta; Hemiptera; Nabidae. The record is from RNAcentral.
GAAAAGUUAGUUUAAAUUAAAAUAUUAAUUUGUCAAAUUAAAGAUAUAGUAAUUAUACUUUUCU